RNAcentral lists this ribosomal RNA (374 nucleotides) under uncultured organism. RNAcentral's name for it is "partial 16S ribosomal RNA". It matches the Rfam family "Bacterial small subunit ribosomal RNA", at positions 526 to 896 of the family's 1533-position model. The record is from RNAcentral.
GGGGGGGUGCAAGCGUUAUUCGGAAUCACUGGGCGUAAAGAGCGCGUAGGCGGGUCUCUUAAGUCAGAUGUGAAAGCCCGGGGGCUCAACCCCGGAAGUGCAUUUGAAACGAAGGGACUUGGGUAUGGGAGAGGGAAGUGGAAUUCCUGGUGUAGCGGUGAAAUGCGUAGAUAUCAGGAGGAACACCGGUGGCGAUGGCGACUUCCUGGACCAAUACUGACGCUGAGGCGCGAAGGCGUGGGGAGCAAACAGGAUUAGAUACCCUGGUAGUCCACGCAGUAAACGUUGAACACUAGGUGUAGCGGGUAUUGACCCCUGCUGUGCCGCAGCUAACGCAUUAAGUGUUCCGCCUGGGGAGUACGGCCGCAAGGCUA